GGGUCCGGACACACUGAGGAUUGACAGAUAUACGCUCAUUGCAGUGCUUCGGCGCCGCAUUUGAGCUGAAAGAUGCUAGUUCUUUCAUGAUUAUGUGAUAGGUGGUGCAUGGCCGUUCUUAGUUCGUGGAGUGAUCUGUCUGCUUAACUGCGUAUCAAUAAUAGAGACCUAGUAUACGCGCGGAUUUCGUGUGGUAGUGACCCCCUGUUCGCAGGCGUGUGUCGCACACGCGUGCCGCGCACUGGUCUCAGAUAGCAACGAACGUGACCGUAUUCUAUUGUUGCAGUGAAUAUGUGUGCCUUCGGGCAUACGACCCACUGCUUAGUGUAUGUACGUGCUUCGGUGCGCACAAUACACAUUAAACUAUAGAGACCGCUGUUUCUUCUUUUAAACCAGAGGAAGGAUACGGCAAUAACAGGUCUGUGAUGCCCUCAGAUGUUCCGGGCUGCACACGUGCUACAAUGAUCAUUGCACUGUGCAUCUAACCCAAUGUGCGUGGACGCCGCAUGUAUGUACUCCUUGUGGGUACACGCAUUGCUGAGCGACCACGCCGAACCUACUUCGAAAGUAAAAUUUCUCUGUGGGU
RNAcentral lists this ribosomal RNA (586 nucleotides) under Ammonia sp. genotype T2. Its description in RNAcentral is "bacterial SSU rRNA". The stretch from base 1 to 460 matches the Rfam family "Eukaryotic small subunit ribosomal RNA", at positions 1220 to 1501 of the family's 1831-position model. Lineage: Eukaryota; Foraminifera; Rotaliida; Rotaliidae. The record is from RNAcentral.